AUGUACGGGCAUGGGAUCGAGGGGUUGGGUUUCUUCCAUAUUGAGCUUCCCGACGUUGCUCCACCCACCCCCUCCCUCCAGGCGAUUGUGACGGUGGUAGAUGGUGUGGCCUCGCCCGAGAUGAUCGAGGCCGAGCUCAACCAGCUAUACCACCGUCAGUGGGACUAGCAGGUCACCCCGACCUCCGGGACCUAGUUCUUCGUGAUCUUCCCCGACGCUCUCAGCCACGGCUACACUACACGCAGUGAUCAGAUCACCCUUGCCCUCAACAAGAUCAUCGUCGACAUCUCCGAGCCGAUUCUGGACGCAAAGGCGGUGGUUGUCCUUGACACGGCUAGGAUCCUCAUCGCCGGUCUCCCGGACGUUGCGCGAUCUGAGCACGUCAUCCGCCAG
RNAcentral lists this ribosomal RNA (393 nucleotides) under Triticum aestivum (bread wheat). RNAcentral describes it as "partial small subunit ribosomal RNA". The record is from RNAcentral. Lineage: Eukaryota; Viridiplantae; Streptophyta; Magnoliopsida; Poales; Poaceae.